GACGAACGCUGGCGGCGUGCUUAACACAUGCAAGUCGAACGGAAAGGCCCUGCUUUUGUGGGGUGCUCGAGUGGCGAACGGGUGAGUAACACGUGAGUAACCUGCCCUUGACUUUGGGAUAACUUCAGGAAACUGGGGCUAAUACCGGAUAGGAGCUCCUGCUGCAUGGUGGGGGUUGGAAAGUUUCGGCGGUUGGGGAUGGACUCGCGGCUUAUCAGCUUGUUGGUGGGGUAGUGGCUUACCAAGGCUUUGACGGGUAGCCGGCCUGAGAGGGUGACCGGCCACAUUGGGACUGAGGGACGGCCCAGACUCCUACGGGAGGCAGCAGUGGGGAAUAUUGCACAAUGGGCGGAAGCCUGAUGAAGCAACGCCGCGUGCGGGAUGACGGCCUUCGGGUUGUAAACCGCUUUCGCCUGUGACGAAGCGUGAGUGACGGUAAUGGGUAAAGAAGCACCGGCUAACUACGUG
RNAcentral lists this ribosomal RNA (468 nucleotides) under uncultured bacterium. RNAcentral's name for it is "partial 16S ribosomal RNA". It matches the Rfam family "Bacterial small subunit ribosomal RNA", at positions 28 to 507 of the family's 1533-position model. The record is from RNAcentral.